AACGCACGAGACCUGCGGACCUGCGGAGGGAUCAUUAUCGAGUGCGACCCCCCCGUAAAAAAGGGGGGUACCUCCCGUCCUUUGCUAAGCUCCCCCUCUAAACUUUUUUUAAAGGGGGGCUUUUCAAACCUUCUGCUUCGGCGGGGUUAUCCCCGCCGGAACAACCUUAAAAAUUCUCGUUCAACUGUUCCGUCCGAGAAAAGCGAAAAAAAAAAAACUUUCAACAACGGAUCUCUAGAU
RNAcentral lists this unclassified non-coding RNA (240 nucleotides) under soil metagenome. Its description in RNAcentral is "partial contains 5.8S ribosomal RNA, internal transcribed spacer 2, and large subunit ribosomal RNA". The record is from RNAcentral.